GGCAGGCCUAACACAUGCAAGUCGAGCGGCAGCGCGGGGGCAACCCUGGCGGCGAGCGGCGGACGGGUGAGGAAUUCGUCGGAAUCUGCCUUUUUGUGGGGGAUAACGUAGGGAAACUUACGCUAAUACCGCAUACGACCUACGGGUGAAAGUGGGGGACCGCAAGGCCUCACGCAGAAAGAUGAGCCGACGACCGAUUAGCUAGUUGGUAGGGUAAAGGCCUACCAAGGCGACGAUCGGUAGCUGGUCUGAGAGGAUGAUCAGCCACACUGGGACUGAGACACGGCCCAGACUCCUACGGGAGGCAGCAGUGGGGAAUAUUGGACAAUGGGCGUAAGCCUGAUCCAGCCAUGCCGCGUGUGUGAAGAAGGCCUUCGGGUUGUAAAGCACUUUUGUCCGGAAAGAAAUCUUCCAACUUAAUACGUUGGGAGGAUGACGGUACCGGAAGAAUAAGCACCGGCUAACUUCGUGCCAGCAGCCGCGGUAAUACGAAGGGUGCAAGCGUUACUCGGAAUUACUGGGCGUAAAGCGUGCGUAGGCGGUUCGUUAAGUCUGACGUGAAAUCCCCGGGCUCAACCUGGGACGUGCGUUGGAAACUGGCGAUCUAGAGUAC
This 613-nucleotide ribosomal RNA is filed under the name uncultured bacterium. Its description in RNAcentral is "bacterial SSU rRNA". It matches the Rfam family "Bacterial small subunit ribosomal RNA", at positions 41 to 649 of the family's 1533-position model. The record is from RNAcentral.